CCAUAGCUUAAGGUUAAAUGGGCGAAUUAGGCCACAACUUUAUUGAAUUCAGGAAUGAGAGGCAUUGGCUUAGGCAUUGGUCCUAACGACUAUCCGGCUCCAGCCCAUUUGCUGGAGACACGGGGAAGGGUUAACACUAUAUCGGGGGAGUCUCCUGCCAAGGCACGUCGACUAGGAGCUCCCCCGGGUCACCGCUCAGGGGCGUGCCUUUGGCCCACACCUCCAUAGGCUUCGGACAGGGCCACGCCCCCCGGAGUCCUUUAACGGACCACCCUUCGCUCACUGGGGGGAGGUGAUGGCGUUCCUCCCCCACACACAUCCUCUUAACCCCUUCUUACCAAUGCCUACCGCCAAUGCCGAAGAGUUGUGACGAGUUGCUACGAGGUAGGCGAAAAACCAAAUGGCUGUAAAUUGCCAAUUGGGAAAAAUUCCUACCAUGCCCCAUGUGGCGACAGACCGAAGUCCAUAGCAAAGUCAGAGACCUACCUAAAGCCCACCUAAAGGGAGGGAGGGUGGGAAAACGUGGGGGCUAGCCGGCGAAAGAGGGCGAGCCCCUCCGUGCCGGCCCUAAAUAGGGCAGACCCCCUGCUCUCGCGGGGCUGAAACCAGCCCCCGCUCACGUGGGGGGUGGGCGUGAAGCCCGCAACCCCACCUCCUGGGCAGGCCGGAAGUGGCUUUGCGUGGCGAGUUCCCGCCCCCCACCAGGAUAAAUAAAGACACGAGACACCAUAGCUUAAGGUUAAAUGGGCGAAUUAGGCCACAACUUUAUUGAAUUCAGGAAUGAGAGGCAUUGGCUUAGGCAUUGGUCCUAACGACUAUCCGGCUCCAGCCCAUUUGCUGGAGACAAGGGAAGGGUUAACACUAUAUCGGGGGAGACUCCUGCCAAGGCACGUCGACUAGGAGCUCCCGGGUCACCGCUCAGGGCGUGCCUUUGGCCCACACCUCCAUAGGCUUCGGACAGGGCCACGCCCCGGAGUCCUUUAACGGACCACCCUUCGCUCACUGGGGGGAGGUGAUGGCGUUCCUCCCCCCCCACACAUCCUCUUAACCCCUUCUUACCAAUGCCUACCGCCACACGAGCAAUCGCUCGCCGCCAAUACUCUCAUGCCUGAAACCAAUCCCUUACACCCUUUGCUAUAUCAGUCAGCCACAUGUCAUUUCCCGCAUCUGAAAGAUGCACGCCAUCAAGCCAAAUAUCAUUUCCC
Non-coding RNA from Podarcis lilfordi (Lilford's wall lizard), 1205 nucleotides. The record is from the annotation of a GenBank genome assembly. NCBI's taxonomy places the organism in Eukaryota, Metazoa, Chordata, Lepidosauria, Squamata, Lacertidae.